CAAAAAAAAAAAAAAAAAAACAUUCAUAAAUGAUCAAUCAAUGUACAAUAUCAGGAAUGAAAUCAACUUAAGAUGUUUUGUUGCCCAGCACGGGGCAACAAUGAGUGAAAUAUAGCACCUGUCUUGGGAAACGGGGGAAUUGGGGAAUUCGCACUCAAAAAAAAAAAAAUAAAAAAAAAAAUCAAAAGCAAUAACACCAAAAAAUUUGCAAGAUAUUAAAUAUAUAAAUAUGUAACAAUUUCUUCUAUUCCCAGUACACUCUGAAAUCGUAUCCAUAAAACAUUCAGCUUUAAAACUAAUUGUCAAUCAUAAAUGUAAAGUGCACAUCAUAUCCAAUAAAAGUUUUUAAAUACUCCUUACCAUUCACUAAGAAGUUGUACAGUGUGUACCUGUUUACUAUUAUGUACAAUUAUCUCGAGAACACACAGUCAUUUGUACGGUAAUAAAUACAAUCACACUGGUAUUGGAGACCCACUUCUCUCACUCACAGAACCAAAAUAAAAAAAGUAGAAUAUUUCAGGGUUGUCUUCUCUUGGAACAUCGACUACAAUGCAGAAUAAAUAAAAUGAGAUAGUUUAAAAAAAAAACAAAAAAAACAAGCAAAUUUACAUAUCUACAUACUUACAAAUUAAAACAGGAGGGCUAUACAGCAUUAAUUAUUAUUUCUUUAAAUGCUUCUAAUAGUACUACUGCUGUUUAUAAAAAUAAAUCUUGAAUUUUUUUUGUUUUAAUAUUUGCAAUAAAAAGGAUAUUUCCCUACAUCAAGUUAUCACACAACAAGACAUUCUGCAAAGAAGGGUAUAUAUUAAAUAGACUACAAACGUUAAAUCAAGUUUUUCAUUCCUCAAUAAGUUCUCUUAAACAGGAAUAUUAAAAGGAAAAAAAAAUAAAAAGUCAUAACUUUGACAUUGCAGGAAUAAUAAAUAGAAAAUACAAAAAGGCAGCCCAAUGUCUAGACAGUCUGGAAUGCAUAAAGACUUUGAAAUAGUUUGGAAGAAAAACUAAAUGCUCAGAACUUUGCAACGAACAUGAAGAAUGGCAUUCAGUUGAUGAACGCAAAAAAAAAAAAAAAAA
Molecule: non-coding RNA, 1074 nt
Organism: Biomphalaria pfeifferi
Lineage: Eukaryota; Metazoa; Mollusca; Gastropoda; Planorbidae
Source: the annotation of a GenBank genome assembly